CCGGCAGGGGCGGGCGACACCAUGUCCCGAACCUGGUCAGGACCGGGAGGUAGCAGCCAUAAGGGGCCUCUGGUGGGCGCCCGUUCCCGCCUGGCA
This 96-nucleotide signal recognition particle RNA is filed under the name Coriobacteriaceae bacterium. RNAcentral describes it as "Bacterial small signal recognition particle RNA". It matches the Rfam family "Bacterial small signal recognition particle RNA". From Rfam's summary of the family: The signal recognition particle (SRP) is a universally conserved ribonucleoprotein involved in the co-translational targeting of proteins to membranes. The record is from Rfam by way of RNAcentral. Lineage: Bacteria; Bacillati; Actinomycetota; Coriobacteriia; Coriobacteriales; Coriobacteriaceae. RNAcentral also lists the same sequence under 2 other names.